RNAcentral lists this ribosomal RNA (605 nucleotides) under Hepatozoon canis. RNAcentral's name for it is "SSU rRNA". It matches the Rfam family "Eukaryotic small subunit ribosomal RNA", at positions 222 to 815 of the family's 1831-position model. The record is from RNAcentral. Lineage: Eukaryota; Apicomplexa; Hepatozoidae.
UCAAUGCAUGCUUUUACAGUAUGAAAAUUGGUGAUUUAUAAUAACUUAGCAAAUCGCAUAGUGAAAACAGGCGAUAAAUCAUUCAAGUUUCUGACCUAUCAGCUUUCGACGGUAUGGUAUUGGCUUACCGUGGCAGUGACGGUUAACGGGGGAUUAGGGUUCGAUUCCGGAGAGGGAGCCUGAGAAACGGCUACCACAUCUAAGGAAGGCAGCAGGCGCGCAAAUUACCCAAUUCUAACAGUUUGAGAGAGGUAGUAACAAGAAAUAACAAUACAAGGCAGUUAAAAUGCUUUGUAAUUGGAAUGAUAGAAAUUUAAACCCUUUUUAAAGUAUCAAUUGGAGGGCAAGUCUGGUGCCAGCAGCCGCGGUAAUUCCAGCUCCAAUAGCGUAUAUUAAAAUUGUUGCAGUUAAAAAGCUCGUAGUUGAAGUUCUGCUAAAAGUAACCGGUCUGCUUUGAAUAAAAGUGGUAUCUUGGUAUGUAUUUAGCAAUGAUGUCCUUUGAAGUGUUUUUUACUUUAUUGUAAUAAAGCAUAUUCAGGACUUUUACUUUGAGAAAAUUAGAGUGUUUCUAGCAGGCCAACGCUUUGAAUACUGCAGCAUGGAAU